AUGAAAUUUUUCCAUUAAGAGAAACACACGACUUAAUUCCUUUAUACAUAUUAUGAAUUACACGAAAACAUUUUCCUUCAAGAUUAGAUUUUAACAUUUUAAGCCACAAGCUGCAUCUGUCUAUAGUAUCAAAUGCCUUACUGAAGUGUACAAAUGCACAGAACAGUUUUUUGUUUUCGGCUAAAUAUAUAUCUAUUAGCGAUUUUAAAAUAAAUAUGUUAUCCAUUGUUGAAUGAUUGUUUCUGAAGCCUGACUGGUUGUCAUUAAGCAGCUUAAUUGAAUCAGCGAACAUUUGUAAGCGACACGAAAUAAUUGAGGUGAAAAGCUUGCCAAGAAGCUGUGUACACAGUGUUCUUGCGAGUUACAAUUACGCGUCCGGUUUGGCGGCAACUUCAAAGAGUGGACAUAUGGUUGCUCCUUCAGGUAGCUAUAAUUACCCUCUCUAUAAUGCAAUAUCGUAUUAUCCAUUUGUAAUGAAUGAUAGUAACACUUAAUCGGAUUGGAUUCAGUUAAAUCUACAUUUCUCAAGGUCUCUAACAUCGAGAUUUGAAAUAUCUUUCAUGUAAAUACCUUCUUUGUCAUGUGACUUGUAUAUAAUCAUGUAUAUUCAGAAUCGUACCUUCGCACAAUGUCUUUGCACAAUGGCACAAGCAACGUGUUCUCUUUCUGUAAAAAAUAGCACUCUUUAUUUCAGCCACAGCAAAGAUCCCGAACCACGUGCAGUCAGCAGAGUUACAGCGUCUGGUUACCGUCUUGCAGUUACGAUACAGAAUAUGUGCACAUAGCUUUCAAUGACCAGACGAAAAAAGAAUUCAUUUCAAGUAUGUUGAGAAGAAAACGACCCAUCACUGAAAAAAUCAUCUCACCCAAGAAAUGAGAAUGAAAAGUGCAAAGUCUCCCAAGGAAUUGUCUUGUAAUAAAGCAUGUGAAUAAAUAAUUUUUUGAAAUA
Molecule: long non-coding RNA, 949 nt
Organism: Haliotis rufescens (red abalone)
Lineage: Eukaryota; Metazoa; Mollusca; Gastropoda; Lepetellida; Haliotidae
Exons: 3
Source: RefSeq, a predicted model, not a curated record